This is a long non-coding RNA of Eublepharis macularius, 1091 nucleotides long. RefSeq lists it as uncharacterized. The transcript is spliced from 2 exons. The record is from RefSeq and is a predicted model, not a curated record. NCBI's taxonomy places the organism in Eukaryota, Metazoa, Chordata, Lepidosauria, Squamata, Eublepharidae.
CCUUUUUGCCCUUUAGGCUGGGAAUGGCCACCCUAGUGAUAAAACAUCUGCUGUGCAUACAAGGACUCAGGUUCAAUCCACAGCGUUUCCGUUUGAAAAGGAUCAAGUAGCAGAGCAACUAUUGCCCGUUUGGCAAGAUCAUACAAAAGGUGCCUUUAAAACUGCCACCAUCUGAGAGGGGAGACGAUGUGUGUGUUGUUUUAUCCAGUAACAACAGAUGACAGUUUCUCAAAUGGCAAUGCUAAAUCAACACAUCAGACUUGGAACGGAGAUCUAAAAAUACAGCAAGUAGGAGAGAAAUUAUGGCAAGUUGUUUGCAGAAAGGAAAGACAACUAUCCAAACACAAAUCUUUGCCAGCUUCUGCCUUAGAAAAGAGUAAGAACGCAACUGAUGAUGACUACUUGGAGGCAUAAUGGAAUUUUAUGGCAAAAUACAUGGAAAGUGUAUAUGAAGGAUUUUGCUGUUUAGAGACAUUGCAAAAAGGAUCAGAAACACUGGUGGGGUGGAACACGUAUGACAUCAGAAUGCUCUGCCUUCGUGUGUUGAAAGAAAUGAAUUUGUGGAUUUUGAAAAUGGCCUUUUGGGAAAUGGAGUCUUUUAAAGUAGCGUUGUAUAAAGAGGAUACAAUCCUUUGAACAAAAUUGCAGCAUAUGUGGUAGUAUGGUGCCCCCUAGUGUAUAUUUUAGAGGAUAGCAAUUUCAUGGACUAAAGCAUAGACUAUCUCGCCUCCGAUGAUGAUAAGCUUUCGUAGAUUUCGUUCUAACCUGCUGUGCUUCCACCUUAAAAUGAGCCAAUGGGACUUUCACGUGUUUACCCAUAAAUGACUCUGAUAUAUUAAUGAAAAGGUUAAGAAAGAUGCUUUAGUAAAGGGAUAGCUAUACUAUCCCUUUAAAGUGAGCUAUACUAUUGUGGGUAUUAUGUACUGUCUAUUGCUGUAGUAGGCUCAUGCAUACUAUGUGAUUUCUGCAUUAUUUUAAAGCUUAUGCUUUGUUUCAGAUUCUGUGAUCCAAAUUCUAUUGCAUUGUAUACGGGAUGGCUGGCACCCUUAGGAGCUGUAAGAGGGAGGAAGAAUAAAACCUGAUAUUUAGAA